UCGAAGAGGAGGAGGUUGAUCGGAGAAGUAGAAGGGACCUUAGAACUCACAUGCAUGCGGUGACAAUGUGUAAGGCAUUAUUGUUAAGCAAGUGGGAGCUCAAAAGCAAGGACAAGGGGUCAUGUCAUUCAAGGAGACGUAGGUACCAAAAAGACAAUGCUUGAGGAUGGAAUUAUGAACCUCCAGCCAUGAAUAUGUGCUGCACGAAAGGAGAAUUUGGAGCAAGAGAUAAGACGUAUCAUUUGGGUAAUGGAAUUUUUGCAAUUUCACAGCUAGGGAUGACAGCAUUUUGGAGGAUAAUGACGAAGGGUUUUGAAUUGAGUUUACUAUUCAUCUUCUUCUGGGAACCAAAGACGCCGAGAUUGCAGGGUUCUUCACCUUGGUUGCCAUUAGCAAGCAUGAACGGAGGAGGGAAGACGAGUGCAAUGGAAAGGAGAAAUUCACUAUUCAUUACCAUCUUCUUCUUUACCUCUAGUCGACUGGUUCAGUAAAGCAAGAGAGAUGAAUCAGAUCUCUUCUCUAAACAAAGCAUGACAGUGAGGAAAGAAGGGGAAGACAUCGACUGGUUCAGAGAAGGAAGAGAGACUGACUGGGCCAAAUUUGUAUAGUAUUUUCAUUAUUUUGGCUAGUAUUUGUGCAUAAAUGCAUAUCUUACAACUUUUGGUUAACUUAGAGUGAUUGCAUGGUCUUAGAGUUAAUUUCGCAUGUUUUGCAUGUCUUUGUCAUUGCGCUUAGUUAAACUUAUUUUCUUAAACCUUUUGAUGCUGCACAAUGUUGUUUCUAACUUAUAGGUACCUUGGAAGAUAAAAAAGGAAG
Molecule: long non-coding RNA, 816 nt
Organism: Neltuma alba
Lineage: Eukaryota; Viridiplantae; Streptophyta; Magnoliopsida; Fabales; Fabaceae
Exons: 3
Source: RefSeq, a predicted model, not a curated record